AGUGCUUGCAUAGCAUUUUACUAUAGUGCGCGGCAUCGUAUUCGUAAACUCGUAACGAAUAGUAUGCCAUACCUAUAAUGCCUUUAGAACUUAUAAAAAAUCAACGUGGUCGAGAUAUUUUUAUUUAUAAUGGUUUUAUUCAUAAACAAGAAAGGACGAUUGAAGAUAAAAUAAUUUUGAAAUGCAAUGAAAAAAAAAAUGUACUAGUCGAGCUCAUACAAUUCAAGAUAACGUCACAAAAUUCACCGAUCAUCAUCAUGUACAAAAUAGGGAUUUUCUUGUUUUAAUCUGGGUUCAGAUGGAGGAUUGCGUCAAGAGAUUCUGUCAAGUUUAGGAUUAUUCGCUCUUGGACGUCUAGAUGAUAUUCCAUUAGUCACUGUUCGGUAAUGAGUCGUUGGUCAUAUGCUUUGCAAAUGAGAGGUUGAUCUUUUGACACGAGGAAUCCAUAAGAAAACAGUUUGCACCCGGGGUCUGAUGACUAGCACUUGCGCUCACCCACAACAGCGUACCAUUGUUAGCUCUUGAGAGCUGUUAACAAAACUCAAAGAAAUUAUGGGUUAUUGAAUCCAAAGCGUCGACGGGCUUAGGGCCAUCUACGGACCACCAGUGUCGAAACCCCAUGUCAUCCACGAGCAUGGCACUCGUACCAAAAGUUGGGUGUUUCGUGUCUACUGCCCAAUCGUCUUGGUCGAGUCGAGUUUCCGCCAACCUUUGUCAUAUUUUCGGUUACAGAUAAUCUUUGGUGUAUGUCUCAUCCAGCAGAGCAGCAAGACAUUCGGAAGAAACGCCACUGUCUGCACCAUACAACAUUCACAAUGUCUGAAUACCAUCAAAACCCGCACCGAACUUAUUGAAAAACUUCGCCUGGACUAUUAUCUAUCCUCAACCGUAUCAGUUGCUCCCGCAACAGCUACCACCAAGCCCAUAUAAGGGUACUCUGCCAAGCGUCAUCACCACUAAUGUCGGAAUACCAUCGGAUCUGUGAUGCAUUUCUAUUUUAACGGACCAAUAUCCCCUUACAGGUAUAUGUGGACAUACAGCGACAAACACGCGCGAUUUCGGUCGACGAACUUAAAUAAGUAGCCAUGGGCAUGAAGAUGGGAAAAUAUUAGGUCAUUGCAAUAUGAAAAGGUCCGGAGAUGACUACAUUGCACACGUAUGGGGGCAGGGAGAAAUAGACUUAAUGUUCCGUAAUGUACGAAUUCGUACGUUAGCACAUACAUCACGCAGAUUGUAAUAAUUGGCGUUCAUAAUUAAAUAUUGGACCUAUGUAAAUGUAAACGUUACAAGGUGUAUGUAAAUUAUUGUACUAUAGGGAUGUAAAUGUAGAUAUCAUUAGAUUAUACGAUGAACGUAAAAAUUACUUUAGUCAUAAAUAGUCGAACCUAAUCUAAAUCGGGCGAAGUGAUGUGAUUCGGUCAGUUUAUUUAUAUUUGUAUCAGUACGGGUUUUUGUGUUUUAUUCGUGAACUUAACUUUAAUUUGCAUUUUAUUGA
Sipha flava (yellow sugarcane aphid) is the source of this 1495-nucleotide long non-coding RNA. RefSeq lists it as uncharacterized. Lineage: Eukaryota; Metazoa; Arthropoda; Insecta; Hemiptera; Aphididae. The transcript is spliced from 5 exons. The record is from RefSeq and is a predicted model, not a curated record.